AGUUAAAAAUUAAUUAAAUAUUCUUAUUACUUGCCAAUUAGUUAGUAAAUUUAAGGAGAAAAAGUUUAAAAAAAGAAUCACAAAGUUUAAACCCUUAGAAAAUUUUUGAGGUCUUGAAGAAGUUCAUCACUUUACAGAAUUUGAUUUGACAAUUAAAACUAGAUAAAAAGUGAUUAAAUAUGUUAAUUACUUGUUAAAUAGUUGAUGAAUUGAAGGAGAAA
Molecule: long non-coding RNA, 221 nt
Filed under: Capsicum annuum
Lineage: Eukaryota; Viridiplantae; Streptophyta; Magnoliopsida; Solanales; Solanaceae
Description: long non-coding RNA (CANN_LNC006796)
Source: RNAcentral